Molecule: non-coding RNA, 91 nt
Filed under: Sexangularia sp. CB-2014
Lineage: Eukaryota; Tubulinea; Elardia; Arcellinida
Source: RNAcentral
CAGUAACGCACCGAAAAAAAAAAACAAAAAAGAAUCGAGAAAUGAUCUAUGGGUGAGUUACGCUACAUGCUUUGUUUUUCCUUCUUUUUUU